CUCUUAUCCAAGGAUCACACUUUAAGAACAUUGCUAAAGAAAACCCAGUGAUGUUUUGACAACAGGAAGUUAUGAAAGUUGGAUUCAAGAACUUCUAGAUGACUCCCAAUGAACAAACCCAAGAAUUAUGGGUGCAAAGCAAGGGCAAGAAAAGGAAACUAAAGAAUACCUCAACUCCCAAGCAAAAGGGGAAAUCUAUGAAUCAAUCUAAUGAAAGAAGCAC
Molecule: long non-coding RNA, 223 nt
Organism: Fukomys damarensis (Damara mole-rat)
Lineage: Eukaryota; Metazoa; Chordata; Mammalia; Rodentia; Bathyergidae
Exons: 3
Source: RefSeq, a predicted model, not a curated record